This is a small nuclear RNA of Galendromus occidentalis (western predatory mite), 139 nucleotides long. RefSeq annotates it as U4 spliceosomal RNA. The record is from RefSeq and is a predicted model, not a curated record. Lineage: Eukaryota; Metazoa; Arthropoda; Arachnida; Mesostigmata; Phytoseiidae. The transcript has a single exon.
AUCUUUGCGCAGAGGCGGUGACGUACCCAAUGAGGUUUAUCCGAGGGGCGUCUAUUGCUAGUUGAAAACUUUUACCAAUAACCCGCCGAGACGACGUGAAAUACCGUCGGCUAUGGCAAUUUUUGCAGGUCGAAAGACC